This 442-nucleotide ribosomal RNA is filed under the name uncultured bacterium. RNAcentral describes it as "partial 16S ribosomal RNA". It matches the Rfam family "Bacterial small subunit ribosomal RNA", at positions 338 to 795 of the family's 1533-position model. The record is from RNAcentral.
CCUACGUGAGGCAGCAGUGGGGAAUAUUGGGCAAUGGGCGCAAGCCUGACCCAGCAACGCCGCGUGAAGGAAGAAGGCUUUCGGGUUGUAAACUUCUUUUGACAGGGAAGAGCAGAAGACGGUACCUGUCGAAUAAGCCACGGCUAACUACGUGCCAGCAGCCGCGGUAAUACGUAGGAUCCGAGCGUUAUCCGGAUUCAUUGGGUUUAAAGGGUGCGUAGGUUGUUUUAUAAGUUAGCGGUGAAAUACCGAUGCUCAACAUCGGGGCUGCCGCUGAUACUGUAGGACUAGAGAUCGGAUGCAGCAGGCGGAAUGUGUAGUGUAGCGGUGAAAUGCAUAGAUAUUACACAGAACACCGAUUGCGAAGGCAGCUUGCUAGGCCGGAUCUGACACUGAUGCACGAAAGCGUGGGGAUCGAACAGGAUUAGAUACCCGAGUAGUC